UUUGGCAUUACAUUGAUAACAACAAUUUCAAACAGAGAGGAUGUUGGAUUGUUAUCAGAGGCUUUCUUCUGGUCAUUCUUACAAAGAUUUCCUUGAGUUUCUUGAAGCUGACAUGCUCCAUUCCAAUGCUUUUGCAGCUUCAUUUCCAAGAGGCAAGGAUGGUUCAUCCUUCCAGGUGAAAUUAGUUUGUAUUAUUUGACACCAGUUAUUCUUUACUUGCUUCAAUGGAUGGACAUACCUAUCUAUGAGUUACUUCAACCAACACAUAGUUCUGCACAAGAUCCGACGAAACCCAAAGAUGACGGCGGUGACAGACGGUGAACAAGUGGCGGCAGCAGGGCGGCGGACGCACAGAUCCGGUGGCUGGGCUCGGACCUGGGUGAAAAUGGCACGUUGGGGCUGGAUAGUGGUGCGACUGGUAGCGAGAGGCGCGGCGGUCGGCGUGAAGACGGCAAGGAAGGCGCGGCUGGAGAGCUGGGCAACUGACACGGUUCUUUUGUACAUCAGUAGAAAACAAUCAUCUUCAUGUAUCAAUUUUCGUCUGGAAAAGAGUUGUGGCAAAUGGCUGAAAAUGUGCUUGCUUAUUGUACGGCUAAACAAACCAGAAAACUUCAGUUCUUUUGUACUUCACAGUUAAAAUGAUAUUAAUACUCUUUAACAUGAAUGCAGCUGUUAUAUUACCAUCCCUACAACGGCUUUGUGAUUAUGCAUCACAGGUAGAUAGCAUUAAAGAUCUCGACAAGGGAAUGGCAAUCUCAAAGAGAUUAGAGCACAAGAGGGAACUUUUAGAUUUGAACAUAGGAAGAGAAGAUGAAUGUGGGAUCUUUUUGGAGUCACGUACCAAAAUUGUCUUGCCACAUUGUUGCCAUGCCAUGUGCACAAAUUGCUACCAUGAUUGGAAAUCAAAUCUUCCCCGUUCUGCCGAGGACAUUUGAAGAGAGUAGCCUCAGGGGAUCUGUGGGUUCUCACAUGCAGUAACGACGUGGUCGACACUCAUACUAUCAUGGAAGAAGAUAUGUUACGCUUCUAUAUUUUUAUAAACAGCCUAUCUGAGGAUACACCUGGUGUUCUAUUCUUAAUGUAUUAUGAACACUUGUUGUGACAAACCAAAUGUUUAGAACAUUGUACAUUAGAGGACUUUGCUAAUUAUCCACAAAUUUGGAGGGUUGGUUUUCGUUCUUAUAUCGGCUCUCGUUCUGUUUGUCGUGUGGAAUGCUGCACACGUUCGUUUGCAGUAAUGCAGUUUGUAUAUGAGGUUCCCUUCUUACGUAAUAUAUUAGUUCUUAAGUUUGAGUUCUGUAAAGCCAUUAGAAUAGUUGAAUAAAUGUUCUAUCAUCAGUUUACUUGCUGUCUUCUCUUGGGGAAAAGUCCAAUGAUGGAGGUGAUACAGGAAUUUUGUUAUUGAAACACUUGUUAAAAAUCGGAACACUUCUUUUCCUCUGUUGAUUUUAACCUCGACUACAUAUUAAAUGAAUGACUUUUAUGGGUGCCUAUCUGUUGAGUAGUUGGUCCUUCAAACCAUCUAUUCUUCUCUAAUUAAUUUCUAACCGUUUUUUCUUGUUCUCUUUUUACCGUCGGCUGAAAUAAUAAAGUAUUAUUAACUAUUAAGCUCUUCUUACGGACUGUUUUCCCAUGUUGCAUACU
Molecule: non-coding RNA, 1644 nt
Organism: Benincasa hispida (wax gourd)
Lineage: Eukaryota; Viridiplantae; Streptophyta; Magnoliopsida; Cucurbitales; Cucurbitaceae
Source: RefSeq, a predicted model, not a curated record